CCUACGGGAGGCAGCAGUGAGGAAUAUUGGUCAAUGGACGAGAGUCUGAACCAGCCAAGUAGCGUGAAGGAUGACUGCCCUAUGGGUUGUAAACUUCUUUUAUAAAGGAAUAAAACGAGGCACGUGUGCCUUUUUGCAUGUACUUUAUGAAUAAGGAUCGGCUAACUCCGUGCCAGCAGCCGCGGUAAUACGGAGGAUCCGAGCGUUAUCCGGAUUUAGUGGGGUUAAAGGGAGCGUAGAUGGGUUGUUAAGUCAGUUGUGAAAGUUUGCGGCUCAACCGUAAAAUUGCAAUUGAUACUGGCAGUCUUGAGUACAGUUGAGGUAGGCGGAAUUCGUGGUGUAGCGGUGAAAUGCUUAGAUAUCACGAAGAACCCCGAUUGCGAAGGCAGCUUACUAAACUGUGACUGACACUGAUGCGCGAAAGUGUGGGUAUCAAACAGGAUUAGAUACCCUUGUAGUC
RNAcentral lists this ribosomal RNA (460 nucleotides) under uncultured bacterium. RNAcentral describes it as "partial 16S ribosomal RNA". It matches the Rfam family "Bacterial small subunit ribosomal RNA", at positions 338 to 795 of the family's 1533-position model. The record is from RNAcentral.